UGAGGAAUAUUGGUCAAUGGACGCAAGUCUGAACCAGCCAUGCCGCGUGAAGGAUGAAGGCGUUCUGCGUUGUAAACUUCUUUUGCGGGGGAAGAAACCUGGAUUUUCUAAUUCAGCCGACGGUACCCCGAGAAUAAGCACCGGCUAACUCCGUGCCAGCAGCCGCGGUAAUACGGAGGGUGCAAGCGUUAUCCGGAUUUACUGGGUUUAAAGGGUGUGUAGGCGGACUAUUUAAGUCAGCGGUGAAAUCUCCGGGCUCAACCCGGAAACUGCCAUUGAUACUAUUAGUCUUGAAUGUUGUUGAGGUGGGCGGAACGGGUCAUGUAGCGGUGAAAUGCAUAGAUAUGACCCGGAACACCGAUUGCGAAGGCAGCCCACUAAGCAACGAUUGACGCUGAGGCACGAAAGCGUGGGGAUCAAACAG
RNAcentral lists this ribosomal RNA (424 nucleotides) under uncultured bacterium. Its description in RNAcentral is "bacterial SSU rRNA". It matches the Rfam family "Bacterial small subunit ribosomal RNA", at positions 355 to 775 of the family's 1533-position model. The record is from RNAcentral.